CGCUGCCCAUUUAGUCUUUUUCGUGAACCUGUGCUGCCCUCUAAGGAUAUCGUACUGCGCUGCCCUCGAGGAUUACCGCCAUGCCUGUUAAUUCCCCGAUCCCCCUGUCUUGGCCUGUGGGUUGCGCAGCUCCAGUUGGUCUUGCCUGCGCAGGCAAAGGGCAUACAUUAUCAGGAAUUUCUUGAAAAAUGAUGCUGCGCUGGAAAUACAUAGAGAGAUAUAGCAGCGCUGCCCUGAGACAUCUUAUAUUUAGUCCAUUCUUUCAACCUGUGAGGAUCACACAUUGAUCUUAUUAAUCCCAUUAAUCAUACAUAUCACAUGGUUUAGAGUUGAAAUUUAAUCCAAGAAUAUUGAAUAUAAAAUAUAUGAAGCUUGAGACAUCAAGCUCUUCUCUUGUCGAAUCUCCUUGGCUAUUAAGACAGCGCUAAGCGGGCCUGCAUAUGCUUGUUGAACGACAUCUCUGCUCCAAAAUUAGAAACAACGGUGACAGCGCUGCCCUUCGAGCUGCUUUACUUGAGUGGCCGUGACUCUUUCAAUUAUGACUUUCGACAUCCAUGCUGGAAAGUUUUCUUCAGUACCGACCAUGUCCGCGCCGAAUCAAUGCUGAAAAACUUAGCUCGAAGUCAAAAUAACAGACAACAUGUUCACAGAAAAAUGGAUCGACUGAAAACACCCAUUCUAAUCUAAUAAUCCUAGCAAAUUGAAAGCAAGAACGCAGCAAAAUUAGUCCCAAUAUUAAUCCCCAAAAUUAGAGUAGAAUCAUAGUACUAUCUGAUAAUGCUGUAAGACUCUCAAUCAAAGUUAAUCCAAUUUUGUAAUAUUCGAGUUAGAGUAAAGGAAUCAAAGACUUAGCUUCAUUCUUUUUUCCCGCAAUUCGGAAUUGAUAACAAGUAGUGAUUAAUAUAAACUUUUCGAGCAAGCCUCUCUGGAAGCAAAGUGUCAUUCUCAAUCCUUGAGUAACAUUUCAGUGCUGAAUGGUUAGCUGCGCUGCCUCGGUAUCUUCACCAGGAGCUUGGUCAGGACGAUAGAGCUGGCUGCGCAGCUGCGCUCCCUCGGUAUCUUUGCCGGGAAUUCGAUUAGGAUGGCCGAGCUGGCG
This 1096-nucleotide long non-coding RNA is filed under the name Salvia miltiorrhiza (redroot sage). Its description in RNAcentral is "long non-coding RNA (SMIL_LNC013576)". Lineage: Eukaryota; Viridiplantae; Streptophyta; Magnoliopsida; Lamiales; Lamiaceae. The record is from RNAcentral.